RNA transcript from Piliocolobus tephrosceles (Ugandan red Colobus), 1349 nucleotides. RefSeq lists it as uncharacterized. Lineage: Eukaryota; Metazoa; Chordata; Mammalia; Primates; Cercopithecidae. The transcript has a single exon. The record is from RefSeq and is a predicted model, not a curated record.
UCCUAGCAGUGCACACAGUGGAGGGAUGAGGAUGGAUGAGUCCUACCCCCAAUUUUGAUGGGAUGUGUUUAUGUCCUGUCUCCUCUCCUGGACGUAUUAAGGGAUUGGGACAAGAAGAGACUCCUGUGAGAUCAGCAGACCUUGUAUUUGAGGAGAGAAUACCAGCCUGUAACACCCAUGGAGGGGGACGCCUCCUGGCCCCACCUGCUAAAUACCUCCAAACUCCAGGCAGGCACCUGCAUUCUCAACACAGGACUCCUUCAGUUUCCCACUCAGUGAUUGCUACCACGGUCGUUUCUGAAUGCAGACCCACCACGAGGGACAGAUUCCAUCCGCCCGCCCUGCUGCAGAUCUGCCGCACAGCAGGCACGUGUCUGGAGAGAACAGCUCUGGGCACAGCAUCCUUGGAACCCUCACUCCGAUCAGGGGCCUCACCAGUGCUGAUGAUGCCGUCAUGCCGCUUGCCUGUGACAGUAUCCCAGCUACAACAGGACGCUGGGUUCAGGAAGAUGUGGCUAUCACCUUGAGCACUGACAAGUGGCCUUCCCGGCCAGUUGCCUUCCAAACCCAGGAAGCUGACCUGCAGGAGGGCCUACAAAUGGGCCCAGGAAGAGCUAGGCAGCAGUUGGCUUGUGAUGAGACACCCCGACGCUUUGGGUGGACGGUGUCCUACAUGAGUUGAUAGGAUGGGGUGCUUGGUGGAUGGGCCAUGGAGGUCCGUGAGUGGGAACUGGGCGUACACCAUCCCAGAGGGCUCAGGAUGCCCCAGGAGGGAAAGAAGGGCAACAGACUACACGAUUGGACAUGUGUGGUUGGCUGGGAUGAAGUUGGAGGGAGGGGCGGAGGAUUGGUACUGAUUCCAGGGAGGAAGUAUUGGGGCUUGAUGAACUAUGAUGAAAGGAGGCCUCUUGAGCCAUAACAAGGGGGCACAUCCAGGAUUUCCGCCACCCUGGAUUUAGUAGAGCCAGUAGGCCCUGGUUGUCACUCUGGGCAGGGAUGCCGUCAGCCCUGAGGGUUGCCACCCACCUGUUUGCUGCCCUCUGUACUGUCAGGGAAACAAACACCCCUUGUCUCACCACCGACUUUGCUCAUGUAGUCAGUAGGGCUGGCCCUGCCCCAAGGACUCACUGCAUGUACCCGGACCCCUAGGCCUGGCCUUUGCAGCAGAGGUGACAGCUUCUGGAUUCCAGCUGCAGCUGUGAGCCCCAUGCUGGCUGUGCACUGCACGGGCCUGAGACGGCUGGAUACAAUGUUGGGCAACAACUCAGCCAGCCUGAUGGCAGGCUCAGAGGCUCACUCUAACCCAUCCCAGAAUAAAUGGAGACUUCAUGUGUUCAUUGUUUCAUUCA